AUUGAACGCUGGCGGCAUGCUUUACACAUGCAAGUCGAACGGCAGCGCGGGCUUCGGCCUGGCGGCGAGUGGCGAACGGGUGAGUAAUACAUCGGAACGUGCCCAGUAGUGGGGGAUAGCUCGGCGAAAGCCGGAUUAAUACCGCAUACGACCUGAGGGUGAAAGCGGGGGAUCUUCGGACCUCGCGCUAUUGGAGCGGCCGAUGGCAGAUUAGCUAGUUGGUGGGGUAAAGGCCUACCAAGGCGACGAUCUGUAGCUGGUCUGAGAGGACGACCAGCCACACCGGGACUGAGACACGGCCCAGACUCCUACGGGAGGCAGCAGUGGGGAAUUUUGGACAAUGGGCGAAAGCCUGAUCCAGCAAUGCCGCGUGUGUGAUGAGGGCCUUCGGGUUGUAAAGCACUUUUGGCGGGAACGAAAAGGACUGUGCCAAUACCACGGUUCGAUGACGGUACCCGCAGAAUAAGCACCGGCUAACUACGUG
This 484-nucleotide ribosomal RNA is filed under the name uncultured bacterium. RNAcentral describes it as "partial 16S ribosomal RNA". It matches the Rfam family "Bacterial small subunit ribosomal RNA", at positions 29 to 507 of the family's 1533-position model. The record is from RNAcentral.